RNAcentral lists this ribosomal RNA (432 nucleotides) under uncultured bacterium. Its description in RNAcentral is "partial 16S ribosomal RNA". It matches the Rfam family "Bacterial small subunit ribosomal RNA", at positions 29 to 506 of the family's 1533-position model. The record is from RNAcentral.
AACGAACGCUGGCGGCAUGCCUAACACAUGCAAGUCGAACGAGACCUUCGGGUCUAGUGGCGCACGGGUGCGUAACGCGUGGGAACCUGCCCUUAGGUUCGGAAUAACUCCCCGAAAGGGGUGCUAAUACCGGAUAAUGUCUUCGGACCAAAGAUUUAUCGCCUUUGGAUGGGCCCGCGUUGGAUUAGCUAGUUGGUAGGGUAAAAGCCUACCAAGGCGACGAUCCAUAGCUGGUCUGAGAGGAUGAUCAGCCACACUGGGACUGAGACACGGCCCAGACUCCUACGGGAGGCAGCAGUGGGGAAUAUUGGACAAUGGGCGAAAGCCUGAUCCAGCAAGGCCGCGUGAGUGAUGAAGGCCUUAGGGUUGUAAAGCUCUUUUACCCGGGAUGAUAAUGACAGUACCGGGAGAAUAAGCUCCGGCGAACUCCGU